RNAcentral lists this ribosomal RNA (369 nucleotides) under Allobosea sp. RNAcentral describes it as "bacterial SSU rRNA". It matches the Rfam family "Bacterial small subunit ribosomal RNA", at positions 1020 to 1390 of the family's 1533-position model. Lineage: Bacteria; Pseudomonadati; Pseudomonadota; Alphaproteobacteria; Hyphomicrobiales; Alloboseaceae. The record is from RNAcentral.
CGGCUGGCCGGAACACAGGUGCUGCAUGGCUGUCGUCAGCUCGUGUCGUGAGAUGUUGGGUUAAGUCCCGCAACGAGCGCAACCCUCGCCCCUAGUUGCCAUCAUUCAGUUGGGAACUCUAGGGGGACUGCCGGUGAUAAGCCGCGAGGAAGGUGGGGAUGACGUCAAGUCCUCAUGGCCCUUACAGGCUGGGCUACACACGUGCUACAAUGGCGGUGACAAUGGGCAGCGAAAGGGUGACCUGGAGCUAAUCCCAAAAAGCCGUCUCAGUUCAGAUUGUACUCUGCAACUCGAGUACAUGAAGGUGGAAUCGCUAGUAAUCGUGGAUCAGCAUGCCACGGUGAAUACGUUCCCGGGUCUUGUACACAC